AGUGAACGCUGGCGGCGUGCUUAACACAUGCAAGUCGAACGAGAACGGAUUAUAGCUUGCUAUAAUUGUCAGCUAAGUGGCGCACGGGUGAGUAAUGUAUAGGUAAUAUGCCUCUUACUAAGGGAUAACAAAUGGAAACGUUUGCUAAUACCUUAUACUCCUUAUUAACAUAAGUUAAUAAGGGAAAGAUUUAUUGGUAAGAGAUUAGCCUGUAUUGUAUCAGUUAGUUGGUGGGGUAAUGGCUUACCAAGACUAUGGCACAUAACUGGUUUGAGAGGAUGAUCAGUCCCACUGGAACUGAGACACGGUCCAGACUCCUACGGGAGGCAGCAGUGGGGAAUAUUGCACCAUGGACGAAAGUCUGAUGCAGCAACGCCGCGUGGAGGAUGACACAUUUCGGUGCGUAAACUCCUUUUAUAUGAGAAGAUAAUGACGGUAUUAUAUGAAUAAGCACCGGCUAACUCCGUGCCAGCCGCCGCGGUAA
Molecule: ribosomal RNA, 484 nt
Filed under: uncultured bacterium
Lineage: Bacteria
Description: partial 16S ribosomal RNA
Rfam family: Bacterial small subunit ribosomal RNA
Source: RNAcentral